This is a long non-coding RNA of Cornus florida, 2045 nucleotides long. RefSeq lists it as uncharacterized. The transcript is spliced from 2 exons. The record is from RefSeq and is a predicted model, not a curated record. Lineage: Eukaryota; Viridiplantae; Streptophyta; Magnoliopsida; Cornales; Cornaceae.
UGAAUUAGGGCAGACGUCAUCAUCACAUCCCAAUCUCUAUAAAAAGUUAAAAACCCAAUCUUAAAUAAGCACAGCAACCAUCUCAGCAAGGGCAGGGUGUUUUUGCUUCUAUGAUCAAGAGUUGCGAUUCUUACGACAAAUUUGAGGUUUUGUUGUAUAAAUUCACAUGUGUGUGUAUAUAGAUAGAUAUAUCAAUAUCGGUAUAUGUUCAUACAUGUUAAGUAUAUUGCAAUUGGAUCGAAAGAAUGAUGAAAAUCUUUGUGUUAACGCAGCAUCAUCAAUUUGGUGCGGUGAGCGGCACAUUCCACACGAGAUUUCUGACUUUCUUCUCUAAACUUCUAAAUCAAAUUACUUUUUAUUUUUUCUCUGGUUUUGCUUGAAUUUUAGGGAGUGGUUGGUGGACAAUUUUGACUGUUUGGUUGAUGAAGAAGCGUAGGAAAAGGUAAUGAAAUCAACAAUUUGAUAGAUGUUCAUUCACAGCUUACGUUUAGGGGAAAGAACAUAAGAACGCGAAAUUUAUUUACAGAGAAUUUAAGAUCUAAGAUUUCACUUUUCCUUUCUCCUGUUUUUUUUUUUUCGGUUCUCCUGUUUUCUCAGCUCCCAAACAGGGGGUAAGAAAUUAGUGUUUUGUCCACCCUGAACAGUCUAGCUAAACUAGGAAUCAAUUUGCUGUGGGUGUUUUCUCUUGAUUAAAAAAAAUAAUAAUAAAAAUAAAAAUAAAAAAUAGGCAUAAAGAAAAAGAAGCUUUGUAGUUAAUCUAUUACUCCUAUUAUUCAUGGCAGAUUUCAUUGAGAAAUAUAUUAGCCUUUGCCUUCAUAGCAAGCCCUAACGGCCAACUCAGUCUGAUUGUGUUUGGUAAUCGAGUGAGAACAGAAAGGAAUGAUUUGUAAUUCCUCUUCUUUUGGGAAUUCUAGGGGUGGCCUUUUAUAAAAAUAGAAAAAUUUAUAACUCUAAAGAUAGUUUUCAAUAAUUCAAAAAAUAUGAAGGCCUUGCUUCUUUUAAGGAAUUCAAAAAAUAUAAAGGUUUGGCUUGUUACAAACAUAACCAAAUUGGAGAAUAAAAAAUUAUUUUUAUAAUUACAAACUAAAUAUACCACUACUUUCUUUGAUAUCUUGAUUCAAUAAGUGAAGAUCAAUGCCUAGACACAAAGUGAGUGUUUUUGUCGAAGAAAAAAAAAAAAAAAAAUCAAUAAGUAAAGCACUAAAGUGUAUAUUUUUGAGUCCCAAUAUCACAAUAUAAGAGAACUGAAUAUUCACCAAUUUUCGGAGUUACUUAACCAUUGAAGCCAUUGAUCUUUACCAUUGAGGUCAUUGAUGUGUUUGUAAUGGUUGUGUUUCUCUUUUAUAUAUAUGUGUGUGUGUGUGUAAUUAUGGUGUGCUUAUAUAUAUAGAGAGAGAGACAAAAAAAACAAAACAGAGAAAAGCAAAAGAGAAAAAAAAAAAAAAAAAAACAAAACAAAACAAAAAAAAAUAAAUAAAUAAAAUAAAAAUAGGUGGAAACAAGUGAUAUUAUAUCAAUUGUGAAGGCUUUAUAGCCAUUACCAUCGGCAGACUCUCAUUUCUCACGGCCAACUCUCUCUCUCACUAGAUUCCUUUUCUUCUUUUCUUUUUUUUUUUUACACCUUCAAAUCUUGAUUUCUCUUUCAUCUUUUGGUAAUUUUGAGUGCCGUUUGCGACAAAACGGAGAGCACGGCGAGCUAUACACAUUUGUACCAAAAAUUUCAGCUUUUGGCCAUUUUAGGGAGUCCGAAAAUUGAGACCCAUUUUGAGAGUUUGAGGUGAAAAUUGGGGGUUUUGGCUUAAAUUGAGGGCUCUGAAAAGAAGUGGCGGAUGAUAAUCCCCCGCAAGCUUGAAGAAGAUUAGGAGUUGUAUUUUGUUAUCUUUUGUACCUAAGCCCAUUUUUUUUGUAUUGUCUCAAACUAUGUAAAAGAGUAUUUAUUUUUGCAAAUCAUGGCCCUGUAGCAUAACUAAGAUACUUGAUUAUUUUUAUUGUACACUGAGACCAUGUAAAUGUUUAAGUUGAAGGGGAUGACGAUGAUGUGCUAA